AGUCAACAUGCCCAGGGGACGUGGACAACCUCGGGAAACUGAGAAUAAACCACGAUAGGUCAUGAUUUCUGGAAUGGAUCAUGGCCCAAAUCUACAUGGCCCCUGGAUUGGACUGCGGCCGAUCAGGCAGUUGGUGAGGUAAAGGCCCACCAAACCUAUAACCGGUACGGGCUCUGAGAGGAGAAGCCCGGAGAUGGGCACUGAGACAAGGGCCCAGGCCCUAUGGGGCGCAGCAGGCGCGAAACCUCUGCAAUAGGCGAAAGCCUGACAGGGUUACUCUGAGUGAUUUCCGCUAAGGGGAUCUUUUGGCACCUCUAAAAAUGGUGCAGAAUAAGGGGUGGGCAAGUCUGGUGUCAGCCGCCGCGGUAAUACCAGCACCCCGAGUGGUCGGGACGAUUAUUGGGCCUAAAGCAUCCGUAGCCGGUUCUGCAAGUCUUCCGUUAAAUCCAGCCGCUCAACGGAUGGGCCGCGGAGGAUACUACAGGACUAGGAGGCGGGAGAGGCAAGCGGUACUCAGUGGGUAGGGGUAAAAUCCUUUGAUCCAUUGAAGACCACCAGUGGCGAAGGCGGCUUGCCAGAACGCGCUCGACGGUGAGGGAUGAAAGCUGGGGGAGCAAACCGGAUUAGAUACCCGGGUAGUCCCAGCUGUAAACGAUGCAGACUCGGUGAUGGGCUAGC
Molecule: ribosomal RNA, 678 nt
Filed under: uncultured crenarchaeote
Lineage: Archaea; Thermoproteati; Thermoproteota
Description: bacterial SSU rRNA
Rfam family: Archaeal small subunit ribosomal RNA
Source: RNAcentral